UGUGAUUCACUCUCCGCCGCCGAUGAACGACAUUAUCAUCAUUCUGUGGAAAUGCAGUCCUACUAAAUGCAACACACGCUCUCGGCAACUCAGGCUACACUACUGCAUCUUCCAUUACAUUGAUUAUGUACGAUCACUUGCUCCAAUGGAUUAAACUCAUGAACGUCUCAGGCUUCACUAUAUUUGGGUAGAUGGAGCAAAAGCAAGGAAGAAAAUGAAGAGGCAAAAUAGAUUUUCAUAAGCG
This 244-nucleotide long non-coding RNA is filed under the name Capsicum annuum. RNAcentral describes it as "long non-coding RNA (CANN_LNC020584)". Lineage: Eukaryota; Viridiplantae; Streptophyta; Magnoliopsida; Solanales; Solanaceae. The record is from RNAcentral.